This 368-nucleotide ribosomal RNA is filed under the name uncultured bacterium. RNAcentral's name for it is "bacterial SSU rRNA". It matches the Rfam family "Bacterial small subunit ribosomal RNA", at positions 30 to 395 of the family's 1533-position model. The record is from RNAcentral.
AUUGAACGCUGGCGGCAUGCCUUACACAUGCAAGUCGAACGGCAGCACGGGAGCUUGCUCCUGGUGGCGAGUGGCGAACGGGUGAGUAAUACAUCGGGAACGUACCCUGAAGUGGGGGAUAACGUAGCGAAAGUUACGCUAAUACCGCAUAUUCUGUGAGCAGGAAAGAGGGGGAUCGCAAGACCUCUUGCUUUAGGAGCGGCCGAUGUCGGAUUAGCUAGUUGGUGAGGUAAAGGCUCACCAAGGCGACGAUCCGUAGCGGGUCUGAGAGGAUGAUCCGCCACACUGGGACUGAGACACGGCCCAGACUCCUACGGGAGGCAGCAGUGGGGAAUUUUGGACAAUGGGCGCAAGCCUGAUCCAGCCAU